RNAcentral lists this ribosomal RNA (460 nucleotides) under uncultured bacterium. RNAcentral describes it as "partial 16S ribosomal RNA". It matches the Rfam family "Bacterial small subunit ribosomal RNA", at positions 339 to 795 of the family's 1533-position model. The record is from RNAcentral.
CUACGGGCGGCUGCAGUCGAGAAUCUUCCGCAAUGGACGAAAGUCUGACGGAGCGACGCCGCGUGCGGGAUGAAGGCCUUCGGGUUGUAAACCGCUGUCAGUGGGGAGGAAAUGCAUCAGGGUUCUCCCUGGUGUUUGACCGAUCCGCAGAGGAAGCGCAGGCUAAGUUCGUGCCAGCAGCCGCGGUACACGAACUGCGGGAACGUUAUUCGGAAUCACUGGGCUUAAAGAGUUCGUAGGCGGCCUUUCAAGUCGGGUGUGAAAUCCCUCGGCUCAACCGAGGAAUUGCGCCUGAUACUGUUGGGCUUGAGGGGGAUAGGGGUGAGCGGAACUGAUGGUGGAGCGGUGAAAUGCGUUGAUAUCAUCAGGAACACCGGUGGCGAAGGCGGCUCACUGGAUCUCUUCUGACGCUGAGGAACGAAAGCUAGGGGAGCGAACGGGAUUAGAUACCCGUGUAGUC